GAUGAACGCUGGCGGCGUGCCUAAUACAUGCAAGUCGAGCGAACGGACGAGAAGCUUGCUUCUCUGAUGUUAGCGGCGGACGGGUGAGUAACACGUGGAUAACCUACCUAUAAGACUGGGAUAACUUCGGGAAACCGUAGCUAAUACCGGAUAAUAUUUUGAACCGCAUGGUUCAAAAGUGAAAGACGGUCUUGCUGUCACUUAUAGAUGGAUCCGCGCUGCAUUAGCUAGUUGGUAAGGUAACGGCUUACCAAGGCAACGAUGCAUAGCCGACCUGAGAGGGCGAUCGGCCACACUGGAACUGAGACACGGUCCAGACUCCUACGGGAGGCAGCAGUAGGGAAUCUUCCGCAAUGGGCGAAAGCCUGACGGAGCAACGCCGCGUGAGUGAUGAAGGUCUUCGGAUCGUAAAACUCUGUCAUUAGGGAAGAACAUAUGUGUAAGUAACUGUGCACAUCUUGACGGUACCUAAUCAGAAAGCCACGGCUAACUACGUG
This 497-nucleotide ribosomal RNA is filed under the name uncultured bacterium. Its description in RNAcentral is "partial 16S ribosomal RNA". It matches the Rfam family "Bacterial small subunit ribosomal RNA", at positions 28 to 507 of the family's 1533-position model. The record is from RNAcentral.